RNAcentral lists this unclassified non-coding RNA (241 nucleotides) under fungal sp. RNAcentral describes it as "partial contains 5.8S ribosomal RNA, internal transcribed spacer 2, and large subunit ribosomal RNA". The record is from RNAcentral. Lineage: Eukaryota; Fungi.
CGCACAUUGCGCUCCCUGGUAUUCCGGGGAGCAUGCCUGUUCGAGCGUCAUUAUCAACCAUCAAGCCCUGCUUGGUAUUGGGAGUCGUCCCCCGCGGACGCGCCCUAAAGACUUCGGCGGCGGUGUUGAACCUCAAGCGUAGUAGAAUCUCCAGCUUUCUAGGUUUUGGCACUGUUUGCCUCGAGAACCCCCCAUCUCAAAGGUUGACCUCGGAUCAGGUAGGGAUACCCGCUGAACUUAA